This 664-nucleotide small RNA is filed under the name Pongo abelii (Sumatran orangutan). RNAcentral describes it as "retained intron". The record is from RNAcentral. Lineage: Eukaryota; Metazoa; Chordata; Mammalia; Primates; Hominidae.
GGGAGCGAGACGGCCCUGAGUGGAAGUGUCUGGCUCCCCGUAGAGGCCCUACUGUACGCCCCGCUGCCCAUGAGCUCGUUCUCACGCGAACAGCGCCGUCGUUAGGCUGGCCCUGUAGCUUCGGCUUACCCCGGGACAGGCCCACGCCUCGCCGGGGAGGGGGCAGCCCGUCGAGGCGCCUCCCUAGUCAGCGUCGGCGUCGCGCUGCGACCCUGGAAGCGGGAGCCGCCGCGAGCGAGAGGAGGAGCUCCAGUGGCGGCGGCGGCGGCGGCGGCGGCAGCGGGCAGCAGCUCCAGCAACGCCAGCGGGCGGGAUCGAGGCCGUCAACAUGGCGAGCGCCUCUUACCACAUUUCCAAUUUGCUGGAAAAAAUGACAUCCAGCGACAAGGACUUUAGGUUUAUGGCUACAAAUGAUUUGAUGACGGAACUGCAGAAAGAUUCCAUCAAGUUGGAUGAUGAUAGUGAAAGGAAAGUAGUGAAAAUGAUUUUGAAGUUACUGGAAGAUAAAAAUGGAGAGGUACAGAAUUUAGCUGUCAAAUGGUAAGUUGUUUUUUUACUGGUUGAGUCUUUCUUCCUGCUCCCCCAACCCUGUUUUUAAAAACUCUAUGAUAAGUUGUAAAUUAUCUUAGCCUUGUACUAUCUCUUUCUGGUGUUUGUAUGUAGA